RNAcentral lists this ribosomal RNA (750 nucleotides) under Mesorhabditis sp. 8 GVDU-2019. RNAcentral describes it as "SSU rRNA". It matches the Rfam family "Eukaryotic small subunit ribosomal RNA", at positions 95 to 914 of the family's 1831-position model. Lineage: Eukaryota; Metazoa; Nematoda; Chromadorea; Rhabditida; Rhabditidae. The record is from RNAcentral.
GGCUCAUUAUAACAGUUAAAAUCCUCGCGAAGUUAGCAUUUUGGAUACUUCUAGUAAUUCUGGAGCUAAUACACGUGUGCACUUCGGUGUCAUUUAUUAGAUUCACCAACCGCUUCGGCGUCAAGUGAUGAUUCUGAAUAUCUUGCAGACCGCAUGCGUAAGCGGCGGCAAUUCGCGAAAUUAACUGCCCUAUCAACUUUUGAUGGUAGUUUAGUUGACUACCAUGGUCGUAACGGGUAACGGAGGAUCAGGGUUUGACUCCGGAGAGGAUGCCUGAGAAACGGCAACCACAUCUAAGGAAGGCAGCAGGCGCGCAAAUUACCCACUCUCAAUUCGAGGAGGUAGUGACAACAACUAACGAGACUGUUCCCUUAGGGAACAGUCAUCGAAAUGGGUACAAUUUAAACCCUUUAACGAGGAUCAAUGAGAGGGCAAGUCUGGUGCCAGCAGCCGCGGUAAUUCCAGCUCUCAAAGUGUAUGUCAUUAUUGCUGCGGUUAAAAAGCUCGUAGUUGGAUCUGAGCCUUUGGAUACGGUUCACUUUACUGAGAUAGUGGCUCCGGUGUUAUUCUCCUCUGCUCUCCCGAGAGAGAUACUCAGAAUAACUGAGAGUGCUCAACACACGCGUCUCUCGAGAGUGUUUGUGCGUGAAAUAGUGAAAAGAGAUUUGUUCUCCAUAGUGUUGUUCUGAGAUGUGUAAUAGAGAAUGAGAGAGACACAGGGGGGUGUGCAUAGCUCUGCGCGAGGUGAGA